Molecule: transfer RNA, 57 nt
Filed under: Rattus norvegicus (Norway rat)
Lineage: Eukaryota; Metazoa; Chordata; Mammalia; Rodentia; Muridae
Rfam family: tRNA
About the family: Transfer RNA (tRNA) molecules are approximately 80 nucleotides in length. Their secondary structure includes four short double-helical elements and three loops (D, anti-codon, and T loops).
Source: Rfam by way of RNAcentral
UAGCUCAAUAGUAGAGAACUUGGCUUGCAAUCAAAAGGUCCUGGGUUCAAUUCUCAG